ACCCAAAGACGUUUUAGCUAACCUGUUAAAGGAGGCGAGUGCCUAAGGUAUGGGGGAUGAUUGGGGUGAAGUCGUAACAAGGUAGCUGUAGGUGAACCUGCAGAAGGAUCA
RNAcentral lists this ribosomal RNA (111 nucleotides) under uncultured eukaryote. Its description in RNAcentral is "partial small subunit ribosomal RNA". It matches the Rfam family "Bacterial small subunit ribosomal RNA", at positions 1419 to 1525 of the family's 1533-position model. The record is from RNAcentral.